UACGGUAGGAGCCAAGCGUUGUCCGGAUUUAUUGGGUUUAAAGGGUGCGUAGGCGGUCUUAUAAGUCAGUGGUGAAAUACGGCAGCUCAACUGUCGAGGUGCCAUUGAUACUGUAGGACUUGAGUACAGACGAGGUAGGCGGAAUUGACGGUGUAGCGGUGAAAUGCUUAGAUAUCGUCAAGAACACCGAUAGCGAAGGCAGCUUACUAGGCUGUAACUGACGCUGAGGCACGAAAGUGUGGGGGAUCAAACAGG
Molecule: ribosomal RNA, 255 nt
Filed under: uncultured bacterium
Lineage: Bacteria
Description: partial 16S ribosomal RNA
Rfam family: Bacterial small subunit ribosomal RNA
Source: RNAcentral